CACAUAUUCAUUCAAUAAUCUAUACGAUUCUAUCGUUUUAGAAUGAAAUGGUGUGGUGGGGGUACUCUCCCACUCCUGACGUCUAUAUAAGAGGCGGACCGACUUUGACAGUAAGUGAUCCAGUCAUGCUUCGAAUUUCGACGAGUAAACAUCGCAGUCCACACUGUAUGCACUCUUCAAUGAAAUGGUGUGGUGGGGGUACUCUCCCACUCCUGACGUCUAUAUAAGAGGCGGACCGACUUUGACAGUAAGUGAUCCAGUCAUGCUUCGAAUUUCGACGAGUAAACAUCGCAGUCCACACUGUAUGCACUCUUCGUAAGUAAUAGAGAAGAGUUAAUAAUGAAAUGGUGUGGUGGGGGUACUCUCCCACUCCUGACGUCUAUAUAAGAGGCGGACCGACUUUGACAGUAAGUGAUCCAGUCAUGCUUCGAAUUUCGACGAGUAAACAUCGCAGUCCACACUGUACGCACUCUUCAAUGAAAUGGUGUGGUGGGGGUACUCUCCCACUCCUGACGUCUAUAUAAGAGGCGGACCGACUUUGACAGUAAGUGAUCCAGUCAUGCUUCGAAUUUCGACGAGUAAACAUCGCAGUCCACACUGUAUGCACUCUUCAAUGAAAUGGUGUGGUGGGGGUACUCUCCCACUCCUGACGUCUAUAUAAGAGGCGGACCGACUUUGACAGUAAGUGAUCCAGUCAUGCUUCGAAUUUCGACGAGUAAACAUCGCAGUUCACACUGUACGCACUCUUCAAUGAAAUGGUGUGGUGGGGGUACUCUCCCACUCCUGACGUCUAUAUAAGAGGCGGACCGACUUUGACAGUAAGUGAUCCAGUCAUGCUUCGAAUUUCGACGAGUAAACAUCGCAGUCCACACUGUACGCACUCUUCAAUGAAAUGGUGUGGUGGGGGUACUCUCCCACUCCUGACGUCUAUAUAAGAGGCGGACCGACUUUGACAGUAAGUGAUCCAGUCAUGCUUCGAAUUUCGACGAGUAAACAUCGCAGUUCACACUGUACGCACUCUUCAAUGAAAUGGUGUGGUGGGGGUACUCUCCCACUCCUGACGUCUAUAUAAGAGGCGGACCGACUUUGACAGUAAGUGAUCCAGUCAUGCUUCGAAUUUCGACGAGUAAACAUCGCAGUCCACACUGUACGCACUCUUCAAUGAAAUGGUGUGGUGGGGGUACUCUCCCACUCCUGACGUCUAUAUAAGAGGCGGACCGACUUUGACAGUAAGUGAUCCAGUCAUGCUUCGAAUUUCGACGAGUAAACAUCGCAGUCCACACUGUACGCACUCUUCAAUGAAAUGGUGUGGUGGGGGUACUCUCCCACUCCUGACGUCUAUAUAAGAGGCGGACCGACUUUGACAGUAAGUGAUCCAGUCAUGCUUCGAAUUUCGACGAGUAAACAUCGCAGUUCACACUGUACGCACUCUUCAAUGAAAUGGUGUGGUGGGGGUACUCUCCCACUCCUGACGUCUAUAUAAGAGGCGGACCGACUUUGACAGUAAGUGAUCCAGUCAUGCUUCGAAUUUCGACGAGUAAACAUCGCAGUCCACACUGUACGCACUCUUCAAUGAAAUGGUGUGGUGGGGGUACUCUCCCACUCUUGACGUCUAUAUAAGAGGCGGACCGACUUUGACAGUAAGUGAUCCAGUCAUGCUUCGAAUUUCGACGAGUAAACAUCGCAGUCCACACUGUACGCACUCUUCAAUGAAAUGGUGUGGUGGGGAUACAUUGCCACUCGGGAAGGGAUAUAAGACGACCGACUUUGGCAGUGGGCACAAUCUUGUCACGAGUGUCCAUUAUUUACAUCCCAAUACUCGCAGCACGCAAGCUCCGCAAGUAAUAAUUACAAGUUAAAUCUUGAUAUAUUAACAAGCGAAGAGCAACAUAUUACAAGGUUGUAUCGGGUGGGACCCUUGGGAGGGGCCCAAGGGUGUGGGCCUUCGGGCGGGUUACUGUCUCCAUUACCUUUUUCUUUUCGUUCCACUCCUAUUCAUUUUUUGGUUCAGGUUAUAUCAUCGUGGAACCUUCGCUGCAGGCAAUCAUAACAAAAUCGCACCUGUGAAUGAGGGAACAUAGAAAUUUUCGCAAGACACCGUUGGAGCAGUAGUAACGAAGAUUUUACGCAAGUACAAUGUGGUAUUACUCAUAUUUUCGUAUUUCUAUACUAUUUCUUUUGUUUUAGAUUCCCUCUGUGCACUCUCGGAGGACUUUGGCAAUUUACCACCACGAGAGCACUUAGAAAUUUUCAUAGGAUGGCAUAGGAGGAGUACCCACGAAGAUUUUACGCAAGUACAAUGUUGUAUCAUGCUUAUUUUCCACUUUCUAUACUAUUCUUUUUGUUUUAGAUUUCCACUGUGCACUCUCGGUGGCCGUUGAGAGUCUAUCUCCAUGGGGGACAUAGAAAUUUCCAUAGGAUGCCAUAGGAGCGAGUAUUAACGAAUACUUAAUACGAGUAUACAAAAGAUUAUUGAUUUUAGACUUAAAUGCGAAGUGGGGAUACUCGCCGUCGAGAGACGACAACAAAGUCGGUUCUUUGACCGACCAUAACAGUUACUGGUUCAUUUGUGUUUUGGACUUCGACGAGAGAACUUGGAAAUUUUCACAGACUGUCAUAGGAGCGCGGACUAACGAAGAUUUUACGCAAGUACAAUGUUGUAUCAUUCUUAUUUUCCACUUUCUAUACUAUUCUUUUUGUUUUAGAUUUCCACUGUGCACUCUCGGAGGCCGUUGACAGUCUUUCUGCAUGGGGGACAUAGAAAUUUCCAUAGGAUUCCAUAGGAGCGAGGACUAACGAAGAUUUUACGCAAGUACAAUGUUGUAUCAUGCUUAUUUUCCACUUUCUAUACUAUUCUUUUUGUUUUAGAUUUCCACUGUGCACUCUCGGUGGCCGUUGACAGUCUUUCUGCAUGGGGGACAUAGAAAUUUCCAUAGGAUGCCAUAGGAGCGAGUAUUAAGGAAUAGUUAAUACGAGUAUACAAAAGAUUAUUGAUUUUAGACUUAAAUGCGAAGUGGGGAUACUCGCCGUCGAGAGACGACAACAAAGUCGGUUCUUUGACCGACCAUAACAGUUACUGGUUCAUUUGUGUUUUGGACUUCGACGAGAGAACUUGGAAAUUUUCACAGACUGUCAUAGGAGCGCGGACUAACGAAGAUUUUACGCAAGUACAAUGUUGUAUCAUUCUUAUUUUCCACUUUCUAUACUAUUCUUUUUGUUUUAGAUUUCCAUUGUGCACUCUCGGUGGCCGUUGACAGUCUUUCUGCAUGGGGGACAUAGAAAUUUCCAUAGGAUUCCAUAGGAGCGAGGACUAACGAAGAUUUUACGCAAGUACAAUGUUGUAUCAUGCUUAUUUUCCACUUUCUAUACUAUUCUUUUUGUUUUAGAUUUCCACUGUGCACUCUCGGUGGCCGUUGAGAGUCUAUCUCCAUGGGGGACAUAGAAAUUUCCAUAGGAUGCCAUAGGAGCGAGUAUUAACGAAUACUUAAUACGAGUAUACAAAAGAUUAUUGAUUUUAGACUUAAAUGCGAAGUGGGGAUACUCGCCGUCGAGAGACGACAACAAAGUCGGUUCUUUGACCGACCAUAACAGUUACUGGUUCAUUUGUGUUUUGGACUUCGACGAGAGAACUUGGAAAUUUUCACAGACUGUCAUAGGAGCGCGGACUAACGAAGAUUUUACGCAAGUACAAUG
This is a long non-coding RNA of Vespula vulgaris, 3693 nucleotides long. RefSeq lists it as uncharacterized. The record is from RefSeq and is a predicted model, not a curated record. NCBI's taxonomy places the organism in Eukaryota, Metazoa, Arthropoda, Insecta, Hymenoptera, Vespidae. The transcript is spliced from 14 exons.